Molecule: transfer RNA, 70 nt
Filed under: Podarcis lilfordi (Lilford's wall lizard)
Lineage: Eukaryota; Metazoa; Chordata; Lepidosauria; Squamata; Lacertidae
Description: tRNA.Ala
Source: RNAcentral
GGCUGUGGCUCAGUUGCAGAGCACCAGCUUUGCAUGCAAAAGGUCCCCGGUUCAAUCCCUGGCAUAGUCA